CGUUGAAGGUGAAUCGUAAGGUUUGCUGGAGGUAUCAGAAGUGCGAAUGCUGACAUGAGUAACGACAAAGGGGGUGAAAAACCUCCUCGCCGGAAGACCAAGGGUUCCUGUCCAACGUUAAUCGGGGCAGGGUGAGUCGACCCCUAAGGUGAGGCCGAAAGGCGUAAUCGAUGGGAAACGGGUUAAUAUUCCCGUACUUCUGACUAUUGCGAUGGGGGGACGGAGAAGGCUAGGUGGGCCAGGCGACGGUUGUCCUGGUUCAAGUGCGUAGGCUUGAGAGUUAGGUAAAUCCGGCUCUCUCUAAGGCUGAGACACGACGUCGAGCUGCUACGGCAGUGAAGUCAUUGAUGCCAUGCUUCCAGGAAAAGCCUCUAAGCUUCAGAUAGUCAGGAAUCGUACCCCAAACCGACACAGGUGGUCGGGUAGAGAAUACCAAGGCGCUUGAGAGAACUCGGGUGAAGGAACUAGGCAAAAUGGUACCGUAACUUCGGGAGAAGGUACGCUCUUGAUGGUGAAGUCCCUCGCGGAUGGAGCUGACGAGAGUCGCAGAUACCAGGUGGCUGCAACUGUUUAUUAAAAACACAGCACUGUGCAAAAUCGCAAGAUGACGUAUACGGUGUGACGCCUGCCCGGUGCCGGAAGGUUAAUUGAUGGGGUUAGCGCAAGCGAAGCUCUUGAUCGAAGCCCCGGUAAACGGCGGCCGUAACUAUAACGGUCCUAAGGUAGCGAAAUUCCUUGUCGGGUAAGUUCCGACCUGCACGAAUGGCGUAAUGAUGGCCACGCUGUCUCCACCCGAGACUCAGUGAAAUUGAAAUCGCUGUGAAGAUGCAGUGUACCCGCGGCUAGACGGAAAGACCCCGUGAACCUUUACUACAGCUUGGCACUGAACAUUGAACCUACAUGUGUAGGAUAGGUGGGAGGCUUUGAAGACGUGACGCCAGUUGCGUUGGAGCCGUCCUUGAAAUACCACCCUUGUAUGUUUGAUGUUCUAACUUAGACCCGUUAUCCGGGUUGAGGACAGUGCCUGGUGGGUAGUUUGACUGGGGCGGUCUCCUCCCAAAGAGUAACGGAGGAGCACGAAGGUGGGCUAAUCACGGUUGGACAUCGUGAGGUUAGUGCAAUGGCAUAAGCCCGCUUAACUGCGAGAAUGACGGUUCGAGCAGGUGCGAAAGCAGGUCAUAGUGAUCCGGUGGUUCUGUAUGGAAGGGCCAUCGCUCAACGGAUAAAAGGUACUCCGGGGAUAACAGGCUGAUACCGCCCAAGAGUUCAUAUCGACGGCGGUGUUUGGCACCUCGAUGUCGGCUCAUCACAUCCUGGGGCUGAAGUCGGUCCCAAGGGUAUGGCUGUUCGCCAUUUAAAGUGGUACGCGAGCUGGGUUUAGAACGUCGUGAGACAGUUCGGUCCCUAUCUGCCGUGGGCGUUGGAAGAUUGAAGGGGGCUGCUCCUAGUACGAGAGGACCGGAGUGGACGAACCUCUGGUGUUCGGGUUGUGUCGCCAGACGCAUUGCCCGGUAGCUAAGUUCGGAAUUGAUAAGCGCUGAAAGCAUCUAAGCGCGAAGCGAGCCCUGAGAUGAGUCUUCCCUGAUACUUUAAGUAUCCUAAAGGGUUGUUCGAGACUAGAACGUUGAUAGGCAGGGUGUGUAAGCGUUGUGAGGCGUUGAGCUAACCUGUACUAAUUGCCCGUGAGGCUUAACCAUACAACACCCAAGGGGUUUUGUA
RNAcentral lists this ribosomal RNA (1719 nucleotides) under Vibrio cholerae. Its description in RNAcentral is "partial 23S ribosomal RNA". It matches the Rfam family "Bacterial large subunit ribosomal RNA", at positions 1248 to 2925 of the family's 2925-position model. Lineage: Bacteria; Pseudomonadati; Pseudomonadota; Gammaproteobacteria; Vibrionales; Vibrionaceae. The record is from RNAcentral.